CGAAGGGGCUAGCGUUGCUCGGAAUCACUGGGCGUAAAGCGCACGUAGGCGGAUCUUUAAGUCAGGGGUGAAAUCCCAAGGCUCAACCUUGGAACUGCCUUUGAUACUGGGGAUCUCGAGUCCGGAAGAGGUGAGUGGAACUGCGAGUGUAGAGGUGAAAUUCGUAGAUAUUCGCAAGAACACCAGUGGCGAAGGCGGCUCACUGGUCCGGUACUGACGCUGAGGUGCGAAAGCGUGGGGAGCAAACAGGAUU
This 253-nucleotide ribosomal RNA is filed under the name uncultured bacterium. RNAcentral's name for it is "partial 16S ribosomal RNA". It matches the Rfam family "Bacterial small subunit ribosomal RNA", at positions 527 to 779 of the family's 1533-position model. The record is from RNAcentral.